CGUAGCUCAGUGGUGGAGCGCCCGGCUAAUAACCGGGAGGUCGGGGGUUCAAAUUCCCUGGGUCUA
RNAcentral lists this transfer RNA (66 nucleotides) under Nanoarchaeota archaeon NZ13-N. RNAcentral describes it as "tRNA-Ile". The stretch from base 3 to 59 matches the Rfam family "tRNA", at positions 8 to 63 of the family's 71-position model. Rfam says of the family: Transfer RNA (tRNA) molecules are approximately 80 nucleotides in length. The record is from RNAcentral. Lineage: Archaea; Nanobdellati; Nanobdellota.